GUCAAUGAGAUAAUAAUUAUUUUGUGUUUUUUAUAGGAGAAGUAAAGAAAAAAGAAAAGUGAAUUGGGAAGAGAUUAUUGUACCUUAUAAAAUAUAUGAAGAGAAUGAUAAUGGAGAAAUUUUAACUUGUAAUAGUUUGUAUAUAGAACUAGAUGUAAGAUGAAGAGGAUGAUGACAUUAGGUAGGAAUGAGGUACAAAAUUUAAUGUGUAGAUAGGAGUUAUGUGUUAUAUAAUUGAAUGAUAGUGUGUAAAAGAAAAUGUUUGUCUUAGAAAUGGAAUGAAGAGUGUAUGGAGAAGAAAUGUAAGAUUUAGAAUGGACUGAAGAAGGAUUUUUUUAAGUGAAAAUAUAUAGGUAUAUAGUUGGAGAUGAAGAAAAAUAAUAUAAAUAGUGGGUCCAAAUAUUAUAUGAAAAAAGUAGACGGAAGAGAUAAUAAAAAAAGUUAAUGAAAAAUUUAAGUGGAGAAAAAUAAUGUAAAAAGUGGGUGAAGAAAUUAGAUAAAUGAAGUGGAUGAGAGAAAUAAUAAAAUAGUUAAUGGAGAAAUUAAAUAGGGAAAAAUUGAUUAAAAAAAAUAUAGAAGUAAGUAGAGAAAUUAGAUAAAAAAGUAUAUGGAGAAAAUAAAAAAAGGAAGCAUAAAUAAAAUAUGAUUAGUAUAAAAAAAAUUAGUAUAAUAAGUGGGUGGAAAAAUUAGAUGAGUAAAGAAAAGAAUAAAAAAAGGAAGGUGGAGAAAGUAGGUGAAUAAAAUAUGAUUUAAAAAAAAUGAGUGGAAGAAAUAGAAAAAGUUAAUAGAGAAAAUGAGUACAAAAUAUAAUAUAAAAAGUGGGUGGAGAAAUUAGAUUAAGGAAAUAGACGAAGACAAUAAAAAAAUGGUUAAAUAUGUUUUUGAUCCUUUAACUUUCAUUGAAAAUUAGAAUUAGUUUCUCUAUGAAAUUUUAAUCUAAUUUAGUCCUUCAACUUUAGAAAUCGGUGGAUUUAGUCUUUGUAACCAAAUUUUGUUAAGUUUAUUUGACGUUUCAAACGUAU
This 1022-nucleotide long non-coding RNA is filed under the name Vigna radiata. RNAcentral describes it as "long non-coding RNA (VRAD_LNC006009)". The record is from RNAcentral. Lineage: Eukaryota; Viridiplantae; Streptophyta; Magnoliopsida; Fabales; Fabaceae.